This 73-nucleotide transfer RNA is filed under the name Enterococcus sp. RNAcentral describes it as "tRNA-Asn". It matches the Rfam family "tRNA". Rfam says of the family: Transfer RNA (tRNA) molecules are approximately 80 nucleotides in length. Their secondary structure includes four short double-helical elements and three loops (D, anti-codon, and T loops). Lineage: Bacteria; Bacillati; Bacillota; Bacilli; Lactobacillales; Enterococcaceae. The record is from RNAcentral.
UCCUUUGUAGCUCAAUUGGCAGAGCAGCCGACUGUUAAUCGGCAGGUUACUGGUUCGAGUCCAGUCGGAGGAG